RNAcentral lists this ribosomal RNA (253 nucleotides) under uncultured bacterium. Its description in RNAcentral is "partial 16S ribosomal RNA". It matches the Rfam family "Bacterial small subunit ribosomal RNA", at positions 524 to 776 of the family's 1533-position model. The record is from RNAcentral.
UACAGAGGUCCCAAGCGUUGUUCGGAUUCACUGGGCGGAAAGGGUGCGUAGGCGGUCGGGUAAGUCUGACGUGAAAUCUUCAAGCUCAACUUGGAAACUGCGUCCGAUACUAUUCGGCUAGAGGAAUGGAGGGGAGACUGGAAUACUUGGUGUAGCAGUGAAAUGCGUAGAUAUCAAGUGGAACACCAGUGGCGAAGGCGAGUCUCUGGACAUUGCCUGAUGCUGAGGCACGAAAGCCAGGGGAGCAAACGGG